RNAcentral lists this ribosomal RNA (1058 nucleotides) under Songthela hangzhouensis. RNAcentral describes it as "partial 16S ribosomal RNA". The stretch from base 727 to 1035 matches the Rfam family "Bacterial large subunit ribosomal RNA", at positions 2073 to 2647 of the family's 2925-position model. The record is from RNAcentral. Lineage: Eukaryota; Metazoa; Arthropoda; Arachnida; Araneae; Liphistiidae.
UAACUCAGGUAAGGUUAAAGAUUCGAAGAGAAAAGUUCACUGAGAAGGAAAGGUAAAGAUUAUUAAAUUAAGGUAAUGUCCCUUUGGUAUCAGGUGUAAAUUAUUUAAAUUAAUAAAUAUUAUAAUCCCGAAUUUAAAUGAUCUAAUAAGAAUAAAUUUAGUUGUAACAAAAAUUUGUUAAGUUUUUGAUAGAAGUGAAAUGCCAAUCAAAUUUAAUGAUAUCUGGUUCUUUUUUGUGUGGAAAAAUCCUUGGUAUGAAUAAUAUUAUAGAAACUUAUAAAUAAGUAUAUUUUUUUUUUAUUAACUAAAUAGUUUAAAAUAAAGAUUUUAAAGUGAUUAAUAUGUUUAAUAACUGAAUUUAUAAAAAUACAUAGAUAUAUAAAAGAAGACCUAUCUGUAAUCCAAAAGAAACUAUUUAAUGUUUAUAUAAGUAGUAAAACAAAAUUUAGAUAAAAUUUAAAAUUAAAAAAUAGCUAAAAUAAUUAUAAUAAAAAGGAAUUAGGCAAAAAUUUUUCUCGCCUGUUUAUCAAAAACAUGGUUUUUUGAUGUUAUAAAAAAUCUGACCUGCUCAAUGCAUAUGUAAAUAGCCGCAGUAUUUUAACUGUGCUAAGGUAGCAUAAUCAUUUGUCUUUUAAAUUAAGUCUAGAAUGAAAGGUUUGACGAAGGAAAAGCUGUCUUCUUGUUAUAUAAUGAAUUUAAUUAAUUAGUAAAAAGGCUGAUAUAAAUUUGAGGGACGAUAAGACCCUAUUAAACUUGAUUUUAUAAUUUUACUGGGGCGGUAAUUUAAGAUGAAAAUCUUAUUUGAUAAAGUAUAAUUUGUUGACCCAAUAUGAUUGAGGAAAAGAUAAAGUUACUAUAGGGAUAACAGCUUAAUUUUUUUUUGAAGCUCAUAUUUAGAAAAAAGUUUAAGACCUCGAUGUUGAAUUAAAGUAUCUUUUUAGUGAAGCAGUUAAAAUAAGAAAGUCUGUUCGACUUUUAAAUCUUUACAUGAUUUGAGUUCAGAUCGGCGUGAGCCAGAUCGGUUUCUAUCCUCAAGGUAAGUUAAUGUUAGCAGUACG